UGUGUGUGUGUGUUUGUGUGUGUGUGUGUGUAACAUACUUACACACCCACACACACAUACACACACACAAC
RNAcentral lists this microRNA precursor (71 nucleotides) under Marmota monax (woodchuck). Lineage: Eukaryota; Metazoa; Chordata; Mammalia; Rodentia; Sciuridae. The record is from RNAcentral.